Molecule: non-coding RNA, 275 nt
Organism: Oryza barthii
Lineage: Eukaryota; Viridiplantae; Streptophyta; Magnoliopsida; Poales; Poaceae
Source: Rfam
GACUUCAACUGAAAAAGUCAUCAACAACAAAGUUGUAUAACUCAUCAAUAUCUAUAACUUUUAUUUUUGUCAUUUCUUCAUUCAACAAAGUGAUAGUAACAUUGUUCACAAAAUUUACAUAUCUCUUACAUGGUUUCAUAACCUGUAAGAGAGAUAUCAAAUUUUUGUGAACAAUGUUACUAUCACUUUGUCAGAUAAAAAAAUGACCAAAAUAAAAGUUAUAGAUAUUGAUGAGUUAUACAAUUUUGUUGUUGAUGACUUUUUCAGUUGAAAUC